Molecule: ribosomal RNA, 334 nt
Filed under: Verrucomicrobiota bacterium
Lineage: Bacteria; Pseudomonadati; Verrucomicrobiota
Description: bacterial SSU rRNA
Rfam family: Bacterial small subunit ribosomal RNA
Source: RNAcentral
UUUACGGAGAGUUUGAUUCUGGCUCAGAACGAACGCUGGCGGCGUGGAUAAGACAUGCAAGUCGAACGGGAUUAUUUCUAGUAGCAAUACCUGAAAUAAUUUAGUGGCGAACGGGUGCGUAACACGUGGGGAAUCUGCCGAGAAGUGGGGGAUAGCUCGUCGAAAGGCGAAUUAAUACCGCAUAUGAUCAGGGAAGACAUCUUUCCAACAUCAAAGCCGGGGCAACCUGGCGCUUCUUGAUGACCCCGCGGCCUAUCAGCUAGUUGGUGAGGUAACGGCCCACCAAGGCUAUGACGGGUAGCUGGUCUGAGAGGACGACCAGUCACACUGGAAC